CAGCAGUGGGGAAUUUUGGACAAUGGGGGCAACCCUGAUCCAGCCAUUCCGCGUGAGUGAAGAAGGCCUUCGGGUUGUAAAGCUCUUUCUGCAGGAACGAAACGGCGAGCUCUAACAUAGCUCGUUAAUGACGGUACCUUAAGAAGAAGCACCGGCUAACUACGUGCCAGCAGCCGCGGUAAUACCUAGGGUGCGAGCGUUUAUUGGAAUUACUGGGCGUAAAGCGUGCGCAGGCGGUUGUGUAAGACACGUGUGAAAUCCCCGGGCUUAACCUGGGAACUGCGCUUGUGACUGCUACGGCUAGAGUAUGGCAGAGGGGGGUGGAAUUCCACGUGUAGCAGUGAAAUGCGUAGAGAUGUGGAGGAACACCGAUGGCGAAGGCAGCCCCCUGGGCCAAUACUGACGCUCAUGCACGAAAGUCGUGGGGAGCAAACAGGAUUAGAUACCCUGGUAGUCCACGCCCUAAACGAUGUCGACUAGGUGUUCGGUGAGGAGACUCA
RNAcentral lists this ribosomal RNA (500 nucleotides) under uncultured bacterium. RNAcentral describes it as "bacterial SSU rRNA". It matches the Rfam family "Bacterial small subunit ribosomal RNA", at positions 349 to 838 of the family's 1533-position model. The record is from RNAcentral.